This is an RNA transcript of Rhea pennata, 4279 nucleotides long. It is a transcript of the gene named serine/threonine-protein phosphatase 4 regulatory subunit 1-like, with no coding region annotated. Lineage: Eukaryota; Metazoa; Chordata; Aves; Rheiformes; Rheidae. The record is from RefSeq and is a predicted model, not a curated record. The transcript has 21 exons.
CCCGGCGGCCGCCGGGAGGCGACGCGCGCGCCCCGGCAGCGAGCGCUUAUGAAACCGGCCGCGUUCCGGCGGCGCCGGGGCUGAGCUGGGGUCGGGAGGCGCCGGCGGCUCCGCCCUCGCCGCUCCUGCCCCUGUCCAUUCCAAGAUGGCCGGGAUCCCUUUGUAUUUUGUGGAUUUGCAGGAUGACUUAGAUGAUUUUGGGUUUGAAGAUUAUGGACCAGACUGUGAUAGCAUGAGGAUAACAGCAUUCUUGGAUAUUCCUGGGCAGGAUAAUUUGACUCCAUUGGCUCGUCUGGAAAAGUACGCUUUCAGUGAUAACAUAUUUAACAGGCAAAUUAUUGCUAGAGGUCUUUUGGAUGUCUUCCGAGAUUUCAGUAAUAAUGAGGAAGAUUUCCUGACUGUAAUGGAGAUAGUUGUCAGGCUCUCUGAAGAUGCAGAACCAACUGUACGUACAGAGCUGAUGGAACAAAUACCUCCCAUUGCCAUUUUUCUGCAAGAAAGUCGACCAAAAUUCCCAACAGCAUUUUUUGAGUAUCUUAUGCCCAUAGUAGUGAGAUACCUCACAGAUGUUAACAAUCAGGUUAGAAAGGCAGGUCAAGAAGCGCUGCUUGUACUGAUAGAACAAGAUCUCGUUGCUCAGAGUGACAUUGAAAAUAAGGUGUGUCCAAUUCUGUUGGACCUCUCUGCUCCUGACAGUGAGGAUGAGUACAAGGUGGAAGCUGUGAAUAUAAUCUGUAAAAUGGCUUCUAUGCUGAGCAGAUCCACUGUUGAGCACAUGCUGCUUCCUCGUUUCUGUGAACUGUGCAGUGAUGGGAAACUGUUCCAAGUCCGAAAGAUUUGUGCAGCUAAUUUUGGUGACAUUUGUAAUGCAGUUGGGCAAGAAGCCACAGAGAGACUUCUGAUUCCGAAGUUCUUUGAACUUUGUUCAGAUAGCGUUUGGGGAAUGAGAAAAGCUUGUGCUGAGUGCUUUAUGGCGGUGUCUUAUACAACAUCCCCAGAAGUUCGUAGAAGCAAACUAUCCCCACUCUUUAUCAGUCUUAUUAGUGACACUUGCAGAUGGGUCCGUCAGGCUGCUUUUCAAUCCCUUGGCCCAUUCAUUUCUACCUUUGCAAACCCUUCAAGUGCUGGUCUUUACAUCCGAGAAGAUGGUACACUGAGUAUCCGACCUCCUCCACAAGAUACGACUUCCAAUUCCUGUCAAGCAAACAACAAUAUAAAUUUUAUGUCCUCUAAUACAAAUGUUGCGUCUUCCAGUUCAGAGCAACCAAUGGAAAUCAAACCAGAGUCAUCGACUGAGGAGACUUCAGCUGAAGUUAAUACAGUGCUCUCAGUUAAGAAUCUAAAUAAAGACACAUGGGAAGCAAGUACAGAUUGUUGUACCAGUUCUGGAGAAGACUUAACUAGGUUGUCUCAGGGAGACAGUGUUGCUGCUGGUGUCAUAGAGGUCAUUAAGGAGAGCAAUUUUCCAGGAAGGAACUCAAGACUACAGUCUGCUGAGGAUGUAUUUAAUACUUUCUUGUACUGGCGCCCUCCUCUGCCUGAUAUAAGCCAGGAUCUGGAGUUGCUUCAGUUCAAGUCUGAGAAGCACAAAGAGAGCUGCUCUGUGCAGUGCAAUAACUGUGUUGCCAGUAAUGAAAUAAAAAAAGUUCUGGAAAGCUUACAGGAGCACAUAGAUGAUCCAGAUGUUCAAGCUCAGGUCCAAGUGUUAUCUGCUGCUCUCAGAGCUGCUCAGUUUGAUUCCAUCAGUGAUUGUGAGACCAAAAAAAUAGAGAACAGGGGCAAACUUCAGAAUGAAACAACUAUUUCAGAUGAAGCAACUAUUUCAGAUGCUACCUGCAGCCAGGUGGAAGAUGAUACACUUUUAUCCCAUGCAUCUCAGAACGGCAUCAGUGAGCAGUCUACCACCAGUGUAUUGAAAAGCACAGACUUGGAGGAACAACAUAGAGAAGCCAGUGUCUUUUUGAAGAAAGAGCAAGAAAAUAAUCCACCAUUUGAAGAUGACAAGUCAAAAUUACAGGAUAUAAUACCGCAACCUUUAUUAGACCAGUACUUGUCAAUGACUGACCCUGCUCGAGCCCAGACUGUUGAUACUGAAAUAGCCAAACACUGUGCUUAUAGUCUUCCUGGGGUGGCCUUAACACUUGGCAGGCAGAACUGGCACUGUCUGAAAGAUACGUAUGAGACUUUGGCCUCCGAUGUACAGUGGAAGGUUCGUCGGACACUAGCUUUCUCCAUACAUGAACUGGCUGUUAUUCUGGGUGAUCAGUUAACAGCUGCCGAUCUGGUGCCAAUUUUCAAUGGGUUCUUGAAAGAUCUGGAUGAAGUGCGCAUUGGUGUCCUUAAACAUCUCUAUGACUUUCUAAAGCUACUUCAUGCAGACAAAAGGCGAGAAUAUCUUUACCAACUUCAAGAAUUUGUGGUGACUGAUAACAGCAGGAACUGGCGAUUUCGUUAUGAGCUGGCAGAGCAGCUGAUUCUGAUAUUAGAACUCUACAAUCCCAAUGAUGUAUAUGACUACUUAAGACACAUUGCACUAACUCUCUGCUCUGAUAAAGUGUCGGAAGUUCGGUGGAUCUCCUUCAAACUGGUUGUAGCAAUACUACAGAAAUUCUAUGCAAACAAUGCAAAUGCACUGGGAUUAAAUUUCAUUAAUGAACUUGUGGUGCGGUUCCGUCACUCUUCCAAGUGGGUUGGAAGACAAGCUUUUGCUUUCAUUUGUCAGGCAGUAGUAGAAGAAGAAUGUAUGCCUAUCGACCAAUUUGUUGAACACUUACUCCCCAGUCUUUUAAGUCUUGCUUCAGAUCCUGUGCCAAAUGUAAGGGUUCUGCUCGCCAAGGCUCUAAGGCAGACCUUGUUGGAGAAAGCUUAUUUUAAAAGUGUUGGCAAUCCUCAUCUAGAAGCUGCAGAAGAGACGGUUCUAGCUUUGCAGUCUGACAGAGACCAAGAUGUGUCCUUUUUUGCCACCAUAAAACUAAAGCAGAAUAACAUGGACAAUACUUCGAUUGAAAAACAAAACUAAUGUGUUCUAUAAACCACAAACAUCAAAAUGGUUAUUUGCCUCAUGUUCACACUUAAUAUGAAUGACAUGGACAAAUAAGAAAAGAACCUGUUGUCAUCUACUUGAGCUGGAAGCAGCCUGUUCAGAAAUGCAGUGAUCUUCGUUUGAUGACCACUUUUCAUCUACAGCUGUGCAUGAUAUGCAUUAGCAGUUAUUUUUUUGUUCUUUAAAGUUCACUUCAGUUAAGGGAUUCAGUUUCUGGAACGUGAGAUAUAUCUUCAGAAGAAUAUUACAGAGUUUUACAGAGUGCUUAAGUUUUGUACGUGUCUUUCAUGCACACCUGAUUUGGAAGAAACACCUUUUAACUGGUCCAGCAUCCAGUCCCUGAGAAUCUGCUAUUUCAUUCCUGACUAAGAGGUAAGGAGAUUUUAUCUGGGAUAUCUAAAUUCUGCAGUGCUCCAAAUGGUAAAUGUUCAUUUGUGUGUUCAUGUGUGUAUAUACAUACAUAUAUGUUUAUAUACAUGCACCCACACAUAUACAUACACAUGAAUGUUUGCCAUUUAUGUUGACAAAAUUCUCUUAAUCUGCUAGUUUUUAACCAUUUUUCAAAACUAUAAAACUGAUGCUUUUUGGUGGAUCUUGUCCUCUGUUGUGCCCUAAAUCUGCAGUUAACGUAGGACCUGAAAAAAAUUUUUUUGAAAGAUUCUCAGUAAUUUUUUAGGGUUUUGGAAAGCUGAUACUUUUGGGUGGAUCCUGUUGUGUCUCAAAUCUGCAGUUAAUGUAUGGCCUAUCCAAAAAUGAAUGCCUAAUUGCUAAAGAACGGUCUCACGUAAUAACAAAUUAUUUUGUUCACACAAAGAAAGUAUCAUAAGUAGACCAGUGGGAAUAUUUCUUUCCCCUUAUUUCAUUACUGUACUAAUUAAGUAGUUCAACUAAUUUUUUGCAGAAACUAUAAGUACUUUCUUUUUUUCUUUCUUUCUUUUUAAUCUGGGUUGUCUACAAUACUGCAAGUAGGUUCCUCAGCAGGCUCUGUAUUUUUUUGGAGGGUUCAGUUUUGUAUAGGUCUGUCUAACUAGUUUUGUAUUAUAAUGUACAGUAUUUGUAAUAAAUUGUUUUCUUGCAAGAUCAUAAAAUGCUUUCAGAAGUUAUAGUCAAAAACACCGUUGCUAUCACUGCUAUUACAGUAAACAGUAUAAACUCUGUAAAUUCUGCAACAUUCUACUUUUUCUUAAAAUAUUUUUUAUAAUUUAAAACAAAUGCUCUUCAAUACAGACUUUUUAG